RNAcentral lists this long non-coding RNA (2460 nucleotides) under Sus scrofa (pig). RNAcentral describes it as "lncRNA (ENSSSCG00025001724.1)". Lineage: Eukaryota; Metazoa; Chordata; Mammalia; Artiodactyla; Suidae. The record is from RNAcentral.
CGCCUUGGGAGUCUAGAGAGCAACAUCCCCUUGAGAGGACGGGGCCUUCAAGGAAGAUGGAGACUGAGAUCAACCAAGAAAUAUAUACUGGUUCUGCGCCCGUGGUUUCUGACACAGCGCUCCUAAAACCCUUGCCAUUUCCACAGUGAGGGGAGCCUGUGAGGCAACUCUUGGUGGCUCCUGGAGUUGAUUCGAGGCUUGGAUCUUUCAGCCGCAUCCUUCAGCGUAGCGAAGGAUGGAUGAGUGGGCAUGCUCCCAGACCUCGUCAUGGCCCCAGGCUAGAGAGCUGGAAUUUUUCGGCUGGGAAGAUCUUACAAACACCAAGUAGGUCGACCCUCCCUCUUUUUCCAAAUUGGGAGACAAAGGACCUGAGGGAGGGAGCAGCCUCUGCGGGGGCACAUCUCCAAGCCCGCACAUCUCCUGCCACCGUCAUUUCCAAAAGGAUUCCUGCCGAGUGACGCAUCCUUCCUCCCACCGAAAGGAGGCGCUGUGCUGCGCUCCUAACUCCAGCUGCGAGACCUCCUCCCCUGCCGUCUGCGCCCAAAAUCUCAUUGGAAAAAUCUGUUUGCAAGAGUUCCAGUCCUGUUCGCAGCCCCCGCCCCCUGCACACACGUCUGUUUGGCUCUGGGCAAACUCACCUGGGGAGAGUGAGUGGCCUGGAACUCCACCCCUGCCCCCAGCCCCAAAGCCACCUUCUCUUAGCUCCCACAGCCCAUCCAAUCCCAACCAGCUCCUGACCUUGAACAUGUUACCUUCUGGGCCUCAGUUUCCCCAGAGCGAAUCCCUUCUCAUCUCAGCUGCACAGCCAUGGUCAGCAGGUUGGCAAACAAGGCCCCCAGGAACUGCCCCCUCGCUGGCUGGCAGCCCUUCAGGCCCUCAACCCUGGGCUCAGAGGAUGCCCUCUGCUCCCCAAUUCCCCGGGGUCCCGUGUGGGUUUAGGUCUGUGACUUCUCCUGCCUGGACUGCUAAUCAUUUGUCUUUUUUCACUAGGGAAAUUCUUUUUUUUUUUUUCUUUUAAAUAGUUGCACCCACGGCAUUUGGAAGUUCCCAGGCUAGGGGUUGAAUUGGAGUUGCAGCUGCUGUCCUACACCACAGCCACAGCAACGCGGGAUCCUUAACCCACUGAGCGAGGCCGGGGAUGGAACCCACGUCCUCAUGGAUACUAGUCGGGUUCGUAAGCCACUGAGCCAAAACAGGAACUCCUUCACCAGGGACAUUCCCAGUCAUUAUUUAACGCCUUGGCCGAGCAUCUUCUGAGAGACGAGGCUUAGUUCCCCGUGAAUGACUCCUGCAUGGACCCCAGCCAGGCGCUCCCCCUGCCUUCCCGGGUGCCUGCGCGCUCUGGCUCCUCCGUCUCCACAUUUAGAUCAGGGACAUCCAAGGGUACAGCCCGUGUCCCCUGUACUCCAGGUGUCAAGCUCUUAGGGGAGUUUACCCGCCAGCGGUUGGAUAGGUGACUUGGUGAAGGUAGCGGCAUUUAUAAUCCUCUGCAUUUAUCAUCUUUCUAAAGGCAUGAGAAAGCGAGUUUGGAAAGCCGGAUCCCUGCCCUUGAACUAGAAGAGCUUUGGGGAAGGGGGACGAGGGACUGCCCUCACAUGGAAGAAGUGGGGACAGGGGACACAGGCUUCCAGGAAAGGACUGAUGAGCCUGGGUGGCUGGGAAUUCAGGCUAAGGAGUCACCCUGAGACCAUCCAAGCCUCCUGGGCAUUCGAGGACGUCCUUGUGUCCCCGCUGCCCUGGAGGGGUAGGGGGCUGAAGCCGCCUUGCUGGGGGGUUAGGGAAAAGGCGGGGAGGGGGGCAGUGCUACCAUGGUCACUAAGGUCACCAGCUGGGCUCUCUCGGCGUCCCCAUGUCCUUCCUUCAGGGGCUCACCAGACCCACUUCUUCCCCGUCGGGCACCCUCCUACCCUCCCCAGCCGCUCCCAAGGCCCCCUCCUAUGGGGGCGCCUUCAGUUCUCCCACUGUGCUCCAAUCCUGUUGGCCUCGGUCACGUGUGAGGUUCGCCCCGGGGACCACUGCUCCCUCUCUUGGACCCAGACUCCAGCCCCACAGAGCCAGGUGCUGUUCUUGAGUCCCCCCGCCACCCGCCUCAUUGCUCUUGUGCCCAGGGCUCUCUGCCCGCCCUGCCCGCCUUCUUCCUCUUUCUGGGCAUUUCCUCUGUCCUGCCCAAUGCACACUUACUGGGGGACUCCCACGGGCCCCCUCUUGAGAAAGCCUUCCCUGAUGGCUUGCCACUCCCCAGACUGGCUCCAGUGCCCCCUGCCAUCCACCCCUGGUGCCCCCUGCUUACCUGUCCCCUGCCUUUGAAAGCACCUGUGCACACACAAGUAAGCUGCCUGUGAACUCCUUGAGGGCAGAAGCCACGUGGUAUUUGUCUCUGGCCACAGGCUGGUACUAAGCAGAAGUUGAUAGAUGUUUGUUGACUGACUGAAUGACUGAAAAGAAAAGUAUUGGAUUCUA